AUCUACGGCCAUACCACCCUGGACACACCUGAUCUCGGAAGCUAAGCAGGGUCGGGCCUGGUUGGUACUUGGAUGGGAGACCAAAGGCUGUGUUCGGGCAUCUCACCAUGAGUU
Molecule: ribosomal RNA, 114 nt
Filed under: Ochotona princeps (American pika)
Lineage: Eukaryota; Metazoa; Chordata; Mammalia; Lagomorpha; Ochotonidae
Source: RNAcentral